Long non-coding RNA from Drosophila albomicans, 1094 nucleotides. RefSeq lists it as uncharacterized. The record is from RefSeq and is a predicted model, not a curated record. NCBI's taxonomy places the organism in Eukaryota, Metazoa, Arthropoda, Insecta, Diptera, Drosophilidae. The transcript has 5 exons.
AAAGCAUACGAGAAAAAAUGUGUAUACUCGACAAAUUAAUAUAGUUAUUCGAAUAAGCGUUACAUCAAAAAUAAGUUUUGCACAAAUAUCAAUUUUACUGAGCCGGGUGUGCCGGUUCAUAUGUAGUUGCUGGCUGCUGAUUGAGUAGUAUCGAUGAUUUGCUGGCCACGCAACGGGUGCGCUUGCAGCGUAAUGGCAGAGGACAAUAUGAGAUACUGGCUGGUAGUAUAGGCUGCCGAAUGAUUAUUGGUCACGCAACAGGUGCGCUGAUAGCAUAUUGGCAGAGAACUAUAUUGCUGGCUGCUGAUUGAGUAGUACCAAUGUAAGCUGACAACGCAACAGGUGCGCUUGCAGUGUAAUGGCAGAGGACAAUAUUACUGGCUGGUGGCAGUGACAGACGUGUAUAUGUGCACACAAUACACGAACAUUAAAACAGUCACUUGCAGACAUGAAAGUGUGCCAAUGCACAUAUUGAUAGGUCAUGCCCUUUCUUUCUCUUAUUUGACACUCUCUCACUUAUUGUCUUUUGUGUCCCGUUCAAUUAUCUCUCUGUUCAGCGGUGAACAGGUGAAGGGAAAGUGAGAGAGAAAUUAGUGAUGGCACUAUUUGCGACUGAGAGAUCGCUAAAUUGGGAGCGCUGGUGAGAGCGGUAGCUAUGAUGGCGGAGGUGGUGGGUUCAAAGUUCACAAAAUUUUCAUCGAGAUUUUUAUGUUAAUUAAUUCCACUUUCGAGUCGGGUCAAAGGUCAAUAAGUUUUCACUCUGGCAUAGAGUCAACUUAUGACCUUUGAUAUGCAAGUAAUUGGCACUUUUUAACUAUUUUUUCACAGGGUUAUUUUUUUUGAUGUAUUGGGACUGCUUUUUAGCGUAUUCACUUUAACUUUUAUUGUCUCUGCUUGGCAUUUAAUGGCAUAGUUGUUGGCGGCCAUUGCUGUGAAAAAAUUUUCUUGCACAAAUUAAAACACGAAUUAUUCACUUUUUUUUUGUUGUGUUUAUUGGCGCGCGCUGGACUGGCUUGCUUGCGGCGCGGCGCCGGCGAGGGCUUGUAGUUAUAGUUCGGGGAACGGAGGCGCUUAGGUAUGAGCUGGCUUAAUUA